This 301-nucleotide ribosomal RNA is filed under the name uncultured bacterium. RNAcentral describes it as "partial 16S ribosomal RNA". It matches the Rfam family "Bacterial small subunit ribosomal RNA", at positions 509 to 807 of the family's 1533-position model. The record is from RNAcentral.
CAGCCGCCGCGGUAAUACGUAGGGUGCAAGCGUUAAUCGGAAUUACUGGGCGUAAAGGGCGCGUAGGCGGCCAUUCAAGUUAGAUGUGAAAGCCCUGGGCUCAACCUAGGAAUUGCAUUUGAUACUGUUUGGCUUGAGUUCAGGAGAGGUGAGUGGAAUUCCCAGUGUAGAGGUGAAAUUCGUAGAUAUUGGGAAGAACACCAGUGGCGAAGGCGGCUCACUGGACCGACACUGACGCUGAGGCGCGAAAGCGUGGGGAGCAAACAGGAUUAGAUACCCCCGUAGUCCCUGUCUCUUAUAC